AUACUUACCUGGCAGGAGGAAUACCACGAUCAAGAAGGUGGUUUCCCUAGUAUGAGGCUCUUCCAUUUCACAGUUUGGUUGGGUUGACCCCUGUGAUUUCCCCAAAUGUGGGAAACUCAACUGCAUAAUUUAUGGUAGUGGGGGACUGUGUUAGCACAGUUCCCUG
Molecule: small nuclear RNA, 166 nt
Organism: Protopterus annectens (West African lungfish)
Lineage: Eukaryota; Metazoa; Chordata; Ceratodontiformes; Protopteridae
Product: U1 spliceosomal RNA
Exons: 1
Source: RefSeq, a predicted model, not a curated record